RNAcentral lists this long non-coding RNA (2464 nucleotides) under Volvox carteri. RNAcentral's name for it is "long non-coding RNA (VCAR_LNC002654)". Lineage: Eukaryota; Viridiplantae; Chlorophyta; Chlorophyceae; Chlamydomonadales; Volvocaceae. The record is from RNAcentral.
AAAGUUGUCGAGCGUCUUCUAAUAUUAGAUCCUAAUUUCUAAUUAGAAUCUAAUUAGAAAUUAGAUUAGAACGGAAAACAUUCUAAUGUCAGGAACAACCCUAAUAAUACUCGAUGACAUUCGGCCAUUUCAGAAUGGAUUUAUAUAUGUGGGUAAAGGCACUGUUAACCUGCUUUCCUAACGGGCCCUCAACCUCGUCACUUUUGAUGCUCAGUCGUGCGUCGCCCGGGGCUUAGGUUAUGGUCGCUGUCGUGCGUUGCGCGUUUCCGUCGCAUCCCUAAUACCCCUUUGCUCCAGUGCCAGCCACUGUAGCCCCUAUAUAUGUCCGAGAUCACGCGAGGCGCGACCACCCUCAUCCACUCCCACCUUUCAACACCCGGCUCGGUUUCGCAACACCAUCAGCAGUAACAGCAGGAGCAGCAGGCCACUAAUGAGAUUUCCAUUUCCUAUAGCCAGCACUGCAAGCGGAAUAUUCCCGAUGUAAAUGGCUCAGCAGGCCCAACAGGCAUCCAAGCGACUCAAGACAGGUCGGCACGCGACCCGUGGGUCACAUCAAAGCCCGAAGGGACGCAGCACGGGGGCACAUCGCCUCUCAUUCCCAUUCCUUCAUCCAUCCAACCACAACCAGCACCACCAGGACCCGCACACGCACACACGAAAAGAUGAACAAACAUACGAACAAACAAGCGGGCGCGCUUACAUCGUAUGCUCUUCCCGAUCCCCGCGUUGCGGACUCUGUUCACCUCUGGCCGUUUCCCUGCCCCCCAAAGCACAUAAAAGACCUCCCCAUUCCCUUGAGCUCGUCCCAUUUUUCAUCCCUCCCCAUCCCCUCGUACGUCCUUCCGUACGUCUGUUUUCAUUGAAAAAGAAAAUUUCCGCGUCCAUAGUCCUCCGUGCAAUGAGACCAUAGCCCGCCAUUACAGCCAUGCGGGGCGGGACCGGAACAUUUCGCAGGAUUCCAGUCGCUUUCCUGUCCGGCAGUUAAUAUGUGUGUGGGUGUGCGUGUGCUCGCCGAGUGGAAAAAAAAGGAUAAAUGUGGAUGGAAAGGAAGGAGGGUUUGGCGCCGGAGGGCCAGUAGAACACCGCCGUUCAGUUCACAAUUCCCGGCCACCAGCAGUCACAGCCCCAACACUUCGGAACAGAACGCAAAACGAAGCCAACGAUAAUCCCCCGCCCUGUGUGCAUGCAGGCGUGUUUAUGUGUGUGUAUGUGUGUGUUAUGUGAUGUGUGUUUGUGAUGUGUGUUUGUGAUGUGUGUUUGUGCGCGCGCGCGUGUGUGUGUGUGCCCAUGCGGACCAUGAACGUGUGUUGUGUCUAUACGCGCUUUCAAACGCCAACAGAGUCGCAACCCAACUGAAGAAAUGAUUAAUCCGAAGACCUGAAUGACGAUUCAUUAAACUUCGUUUCGGGGUCUUGAUUUUCGAUUGCAGCUAUACUCAUUUGCAGGCAAAUCCUCCCUCUUGGCAAUGACGGUGAUGGUGGUGAUGGUGAUAGUGGUGAUGCUGGUGGUGCUGACAAUCACGACAGCAUGACCCUGUCAAAAAGCCGAGUAUAAUGUCGUCAAGUACGCCAGCCGCGUGCUAAACAAAACAAGGUAUAGGAAGGAGGAGGGAGGCGUUAGAAAACGUGCGUUGUCUCCGUCUGGGGAAAUAUCUCCGGGUCGGUGGGAUCUGGGAGCUGCCGCAGGUGGAGAGGAGGGAUGUGGAGGGAUGUGGUACCUGGGCGGCGCAUGUGGAUCCCCUCUGUCCCAUCCGCUACUCCCCCACCCACCCACCCGCGUACUAACACACACCUUCUCCUCUUCCCACCACCACUAACCAGCACACACCGGGCCGCCGUACCAGCCCCUAGCAGCUUAUCGGCUCUGGCAGGUAGCGAGGUUGGUCGCUAACCGACCUUUUUCCCUUCUCGCCCGCUGGUAUUGCCGCUACCGUCCCGGACUCCUAGGUACAUAACCCCUCGGCGUCUCGCCAUGGCCAUUAUCAGCCUCCGCCUCCGCCUCCGCCCGAGCACCAGCCGCCCCUCGGCAAUGGCAGAGGCGGCUCCUUUUUAGUUCCAUAACCACCGCGACGACCACAACUACAGCAUCUACCUUUCUCCUCUUUGAUUUCCCAACUUCCCCCUCCGUCUCCCCCAUCUUCACUUCCAUUUACCCCACCCCCACGCACACACACAACACCACGUCAGCGCCUUCUCCACCUCCUCCUCCGCCUUCUCCACCUCCUCCUCCAUACCUAAUUUGCCCACACACGUAUACGUUUCGCAGCAGAGCGCCUGUAGCAAGUUGCAGCGGCAGCACCGGCACCAUAGAGUUCGCAUGUAUGUACGUAUGUACGUCGUUUAACAAACCCAUAAUCCCAUCUCCGUAUACUCAUGAAGCCACAUUACCCGCCACAGCCAUAUACAAGUGCCCUGCGACUGAAUUAAGCCAUUGCCCUCAGUGCAUUGUCAGCUCCCCCCAACUU